Molecule: non-coding RNA, 1249 nt
Organism: Malus domestica (apple)
Lineage: Eukaryota; Viridiplantae; Streptophyta; Magnoliopsida; Rosales; Rosaceae
Source: RefSeq, a predicted model, not a curated record
GUGAAACCAGAGGCGUUAGAGAAGACCAGAGAGAAGAGACCUGAAAGGUGAUCUUCCUCUGCAUCUUUCUCUCGCCCUCUCUUUCUCUCUCUAGAAACACUUAAGUUUUUAGAUUUGAGAGAGAGAGAGAGAGAGAGAGGAAGUACUUCUCGCCAAAGCUGCACUGAAUUUGGCCAAAAAAAAAAAAAAUCCUUUUCCUACUUGCUACAUAAUCCAUUGCUUCUACUUCACUCCCUCCAAGUUUUGCAGAUAACCCUCUCUCUCUCUCUCUCUCUCUGUUAAGAUCUCCAAUCUUUCCUGGUUUCCUAAAGAGUCGAGAAAAACCCUUUUCUCUGCACUCGGUCUUCCUCUGCUUUGACAAUCCACCUUUAAUUCAGCUCAAAAAAUCACAAAUCAUUCAAUUUAGCAAAAAUAAGGGAAUCUGAACAGAACCCAGUUGCAGAUUUUCCCGGAAGAUGGAGAACAUUUCCGGGAAAAGCGACCCACAAUCAGUCUCUCACUUUUUACUACUUUUUCCGAGUCAAUUUCCUCUGACAAGUCCCCAAAUGCAAUCAAAUCCCCCCGAAAUUUCCAAGAGGGGGUUGUUGGGCUUGGAAUAGUGGCUGCCAUGACUGAUUUGGGCAACCCCAAUGAAGUGGCUUUGUCUGACAAGUCGCCUAGGUCGAGCCCGAUCCCCAUAGUCUCUGCAGCUAAGCCCGCAGCUAAUUUCAGAGGUGGGUUUUGUGUGGAGAGGGCAGGGGCUGUGGUGGAUGAAUUGUCCGAGAGCUAUACAUGUGUGAUUACGCAUUUCGGAAACAAUUUGACAUCGAAAAGGGUUUAUUUCGAUGAUGAGCUGAGUGGGGGUUGUGGAUGAUCCUAAUGCUGGUGUGGUGGUGGCCUCUGGGGUGUUCUAUGUUUCUCCACUGAGUGUUGGUGAAGUGGGAAGAGAGUUUUGGGCCUCGGAUUUUCUCAGUUGGUGUUAUCUUUGCAAGAAGCAGCUUCAUGGACUGGACAUUUUCAUGUACAGGGGUGAGAAAGCAUUUUGCAGCGCCGAGUGCCGUGACAAGCACAUUCGAAGCGAUGAUCAUAAAGAGAAGUGCAGAUCGGAAGCAUUGAAAUCGCUUGAGUACUCGGUGUCUCCCUGCUCCAGUCCGCUCGUCUUCUUAUCCGGGGUUGCUGUGGCAUGAAAGUAUUGGUGUACCUAUAUAGUAAAUAAUACAAGAAAGGAUGGGAAACAUGAUCCGAAUAAAUUGGGACAAGGUUCAAUCAG